Molecule: ribosomal RNA, 497 nt
Filed under: uncultured bacterium
Lineage: Bacteria
Description: partial 16S ribosomal RNA
Rfam family: Bacterial small subunit ribosomal RNA
Source: RNAcentral
GAUGAACGCUGGCGGCGUGCCUAAUACAUGCAAGUCGAGCGAACAGACGAGGAGCUUGCUCCUCUGACGUUAGCGGCGGACGGGUGAGUAACACGUGGAUAACCUACCUAUAAGACUGGGAUAACUUCGGGAAACCGGAGCUAAUACCGGAUAAUAUAUUGAACCGCAUGGUUCAAUAGUGAAAGACGGUUUUGCUGUCACUUAUAGAUGGAUCCGCGCCGCAUUAGCUAGUUGGUAAGGUAACGGCUUACCAAGGCAACGAUGCGUAGCCGACCUGAGAGGGUGAUCGGCCACACUGGAACUGAGACACGGUCCAGACUCCUACGGGAGGCAGCAGUAGGGAAUCUUCCGCAAAGGGCGAAAGCUUGACGGAGCAACGCGGCGUGAGUGAUGAAGGUCUUCGGAUCGUAAAACUCUGUUAUUAGGGAAGAACAAAUGUGUAAGUAACUAUGCACGUCUUGACGGUACCUAAUCAGAAAGCCACGGCUAACUACGUG